ACCAGGCACAGUGAUGCACACUGUAAUCCCAGCUACCUGGGAGGAUGAGGCAGGAGGAUCAUCAGAGCCCAGGAGUUUGAGACUACCUCCUGGGCAACACAGUAAGAUCCUGUCUUGG
This 118-nucleotide small RNA is filed under the name Marmota monax (woodchuck). Lineage: Eukaryota; Metazoa; Chordata; Mammalia; Rodentia; Sciuridae. The record is from RNAcentral.